AGUUUGUUGUUUAUUGAUUAACAAAUACUUUCUGCCCGGUGAUAGUUUUAACGGCCGCGGUACUCUGACCGUGCAAAGGUAGCAUAAUCAUUUGCUUUUUAAUUGGGGGCUUGUAUGAAGGAAAAAACGAAUGCUUAGCUGUCUCUGUGUAAAGGUUAGAAUUUUCUGUUAUUGUAAAGAAGCAGCAAUGCUGAAAAGGGACAAGAAGACCCUAUCGAGCUUUAUUGCUUUGGAAGCUAGGCUAAUAUUAAUAAAGGCCGUAAUUUCGUGUGCAAUUUCGUUGGGGCGACGAAAAAAGAAUAAAUCUUUUUUGAGUAUAAAACUUUAUGAGUUUAAUCUUGAACGGCCUUUGGCCUUUAAGAGAAUCAGUUACCGUAGGGAUAACAGCGUAAUUCUUUUUGAGAGUUCGAAUCGAAAAAAGAGAUUGCGACCUCGAUGUUGACUUGCUUUUUCCUUUCUGGCGCAGAAGCUGUAAGGGU
Molecule: ribosomal RNA, 479 nt
Filed under: Baseodiscus komatsui
Lineage: Eukaryota; Metazoa; Nemertea; Pilidiophora; Heteronemertea; Baseodiscidae
Description: partial 16S rRNA
Rfam family: Bacterial large subunit ribosomal RNA
Source: RNAcentral